This 253-nucleotide ribosomal RNA is filed under the name uncultured bacterium. Its description in RNAcentral is "partial 16S ribosomal RNA". It matches the Rfam family "Bacterial small subunit ribosomal RNA", at positions 524 to 776 of the family's 1533-position model. The record is from RNAcentral.
UACAGAGGGUGCGAGCGUUGUCCGGAAUCACUGGGCGUAAAGGGCGCGUAGGUGGCGCUGCAAGUCGGUGGUGAAAGCUCGUCGCUUAACGACGAGUCGGCCAUCGAAACUGCAGGGCUCGAGCACUGUAGGGGCUAAUGGAAUUCCGGGUGUAGCGGUGGAAUGCGUAGAGAUCCGGAAGAACACCAGUGGCGAAGGCGGUUAGCUGGGCAGUUGCUGACACUGAUGCGCGACAGCGUGGGGAGCAAACAGG